RNAcentral lists this long non-coding RNA (364 nucleotides) under Fukomys damarensis (Damara mole-rat). RNAcentral's name for it is "lncRNA (ENSFDAG00000025847.1)". The record is from RNAcentral. Lineage: Eukaryota; Metazoa; Chordata; Mammalia; Rodentia; Bathyergidae.
CCUGGGAACACGCUUUGUUCUCAUUAUUAAGACUUUCUUGACCUUCAGUGCAUUUCUCUAGCAUCUUGCAUCAAAUUGUCCUACUGUGAUAUGUAGUCACCCCAGCCUGUAUGAGGUGGGAUGGAGUGAGAACAUCACAAUGAGCCGUGGGCAGAUUGCACUGCAGGGCACAAAAGCGCCUGUUGAAAGGAGACACCGAAGGAUGAACUAGCGUCCUUGUGCCGGUUGCAUGGCCCCCUAAGACUUUCUUUCUCUGCUAUGGGGUUUCUCUGUUAUCGAAGCUCCAUCCUAAAGGUCCUUGGCAGUCUGUCCUCUAAAUCUGCAGCCAUGAGCAUUAUCUUCCAGAGCUUUGCCCAGAGCUGCA